RNAcentral lists this ribosomal RNA (200 nucleotides) under uncultured bacterium. RNAcentral describes it as "partial 16S ribosomal RNA". It matches the Rfam family "Bacterial small subunit ribosomal RNA", at positions 328 to 538 of the family's 1533-position model. The record is from RNAcentral.
ACGCUCGACACCUACGGGAAGGCAGCAGUGGGGAAUAUUGCACAAUGGGGGAAACCCUGAUGCAGCGACGCCGCGUGAGCGAAGAAGUAUUUCGGUAUGUAAAGCUCUAUCAGCAGGGAAGAAAAUGACGGUACCUGACUAAGAAGCACCGGCUAAAUACGUGCCGGCAGCCGCGGUAAUCUGAGCGGGCGUGGCAAGGC